GGUUAGUCCGAGUGGUGUUUACAGCUUAUUGAUCACAACAAGUUACAGAUUUCUUUGUUCCUUCCCCACUCCCACUGCUUCAAAUUGACUAGCAUUAA
Molecule: Y RNA, 98 nt
Organism: Macaca mulatta (Rhesus monkey)
Lineage: Eukaryota; Metazoa; Chordata; Mammalia; Primates; Cercopithecidae
Rfam family: Y RNA
About the family: Y RNAs are components of the Ro ribonucleoprotein particle (Ro RNP), in association with Ro60 and La proteins. The Y RNAs and Ro60 and La proteins are well conserved, but the function of the Ro RNP is not known.
Source: Ensembl